Oncorhynchus nerka (sockeye salmon) is the source of this 1118-nucleotide long non-coding RNA. RefSeq lists it as uncharacterized. The record is from RefSeq and is a predicted model, not a curated record. Lineage: Eukaryota; Metazoa; Chordata; Actinopteri; Salmoniformes; Salmonidae. The transcript has 3 exons.
GUUUACCGUUAGACCCGAUAACGUGUUUUUACGCAUGACCUUAGAUCGGGGAUUUCAAUUUAUGCUUAUCGUCAUACUGUUCUGUCUUUGCUGUAUUCUUUCUAGUCAAAACCCUUCGCCGGGGACCGUAUUCCCAUAACAUAUUGCGACACAAAAAUCUCUGUAUUAACGAUGGACAGAAGUUCACACAUGGAAUAACCUUGUGAAAUGGACAGCUGGCAACUGAUGUGUUCAUUUCACUCCAUGGCAUCGGCUUGGCAGGACAUAACAGUCAUAUCCUACUGGUUUGGAGCUCGUGUUGCACCAUUGCAUAUGAAGACAAUUUUUUUAAAUGAUCAAUUAAAAAUAAAUCGGUGACAACUUGAUGAAGCCUAUGAAUAUGCAAAACUGUUUACAGAACCAUUGCACAUGAAUAAAGGUAGUUGUGGUUCUCACAACUUGAACCAGCACUCGAAUCUGAGCAGUGAGUUUAGUCAGGAGUUUUUUCAGCAGUGCGCAACAUCCCUAUGUUAGAUAGAGAAUAAAGUGUGGAUCUACUUCUGUCAUACAGAAUUGUCAGCUCAUUCUAAAAUAAAGAUGUGGGCUAUUUGUGUCCCAGGGUGUGUGUGCAAGUUUUUAUUCCUGCCCAGCACAAACACCUUGUUCAACUAUCCAUGGUCUACAACUGAGACAACAAUGUUGGAGGUUCAUCUCCUUCAUUUGUCCCCCACUUGGGGAUGACUUAUUCUGUACAAUGGACUGUGUUCUAAGGAUUCAUGCACAGAUACAGGAAAACCAAUAAGUGGUAAUAUUUAUUUAAAAAAUGACAAUUGUUGAUGUCUCGCCAUUCUCCUGGUUUUGAAGCUUGGGCAUCAGGGGGCUGUAGUUCAUCUUUCUAAUACCCUUCAAGGAGAGAAAGGCAAUAAUAGUACAAUAGUGUAUUCAUUUAAUGUAAUAUAUUAUUGUUUUAUAUGCAUGCAAAUAAUUAAAUUGGACAUGUUAUCCUUUACAAUAUGCCCGUGAUUGUUUUGUAUCCAAUGCAUUUAGCUUACAUUAGGAUGAAGUAGCCUAGGCCUUCUAAUCGCGUUAUAUUGCAUCAUAUCGCCUAGCAAUAUUAGUUAUCAAUGCAUGAGUUGAAU